UCCGAGUUGACCCCGGCAGUCUCCUACGAGUCCCCGGCAUAACCCGCUGGCAACAUAGGACAGGGGUUGCGCUCGUUGCGCCACUUAAGGCAACACCUCACGGCACGAGCUGACGACAGCCAUGCACCACCUGUGCAGGCUCCGAAGAGCACCCGCUUUCACGGGUUUCACCCUGCAUGUCAAACCCAGGUAAGGUUCUUCGCGUUGCCUCGAAUUAAGCAACAUGCUCCGCCGCUUGUGCGGGCCCCCGUCAAUUCCUUUGAGUUUCAGCCUUGCGAACGUACUCCCCAGGCGGGGCACUUAAUGCGUUAGCUUCGGCACUGCAGGGGUCGAUACCCGCAACACCAAGUGCCCAUCGUUUACAGCUAGGACUAC
RNAcentral lists this unclassified non-coding RNA (375 nucleotides) under uncultured bacterium. Its description in RNAcentral is "contains 16S-23S intergenic spacer region". The record is from RNAcentral.